GCCGUCCGCCAGCCGCCAGGCCAUUUCCAGCGCUAAAAGGAGGUCUGCUAGGCUUGCGAGGCGUAGGAUCCGGAGCGACAGAGGAGCGGCCGGUGUGCGUCGCUCGACUGGAUCCAUCGCAGGUGCGGGAUCGAGGAAGUCGAUGCGUGCGCUGGGAUCAGCCGGAGGAGCGGGAUUCAGGUCCAGCCGAUGCAGUCCAGUACGUGAGCGAGGGUUGGACUGUUGGACCGGCUAGUAGCGCUACCACAACCUCGCCCCAUGCUCCGUCGUGGCGCCGCCGCCAUAGUAGUCUACGACAUCACUAGCACGGACUCUUACAUCCAAGCAACGAAGAGGUGGGUUGACGAGCUUUAAAGACUAGGGAACCCAGGUUUGGUGAUGGUGUUAGUGGGCAACAAGGUUGAUUUAGAAAACAAGAGGUAGGUUGGCACACAGGAGGCGCUGGAGAUGUCAGCGAAGAUGGCGACCUAGCCCAGGCGAUACAGCGUACGGCUCUGCGGGAUUGGAAUGAUUCAGGCCUCCGGACCGCACGCCAAUUCACGUUCAUGCCAAUCUCGUCUCGUUGUUCGUCUGUUCGUGAGCGAAACUGUUCCGCCAGGAAUUGAAG
This is a long non-coding RNA of Triticum urartu, 607 nucleotides long. RefSeq lists it as uncharacterized. Lineage: Eukaryota; Viridiplantae; Streptophyta; Magnoliopsida; Poales; Poaceae. The record is from RefSeq and is a predicted model, not a curated record.